This is a long non-coding RNA of Anneissia japonica, 423 nucleotides long. RefSeq lists it as uncharacterized. NCBI's taxonomy places the organism in Eukaryota, Metazoa, Echinodermata, Crinoidea, Comatulida, Comatulidae. The record is from RefSeq and is a predicted model, not a curated record. The transcript is spliced from 2 exons.
AGUGAAAACUCAUCAAGUGUAGUAGGAAAGCAUUAUUGGGAAAACAGAGAUUUAAAUUACCUCAGUUUCAAAGCAGCCAAGGGUGAAACUCCGAAGAAAGUUAAAAGCUAAUUGUAACAAUCAGACAAGCAAAGACAUGGACAUGGACAAUUGCCGCUUAAAUAUUAGUAGAAAAUUGCCAUUUAUAUACUCUACGCCUGUAAUGCAAAAGGUUCUUGAAUAUGGUUUUACAUAAUAUAAUAACUUUCAUGGAUCUUUAAUAUACAUUAAAGACCAAAAUACUGAUUUAAACAGGACUUAAAUGCGAAGGACUCUAGAAUAAGCUUGAAUUUGAGGUAUGUGUGUUAGUAAUAUUUUUUGGAAUACAAGACAAACCCUAUGAUGCAUAGUUAAUGUUUUUGUAAUUAAAAAUUAUGGUUUGUA